This 789-nucleotide ribosomal RNA is filed under the name uncultured bacterium. RNAcentral's name for it is "bacterial SSU rRNA". It matches the Rfam family "Bacterial small subunit ribosomal RNA", at positions 8 to 796 of the family's 1533-position model. The record is from RNAcentral.
AGAGUUUGAUCCUGGCUCAGGAUGAACGCUAGCGGCAGGCUUAACACAUGCAAGUCGAGGGGUAGGAGAAGCUUGCUUUUCUGAGACCGGCGCACGGGUGCGUAACGCGUAUGCAAUCUACCUUUCACAAAGGGAUAGCCCAGAGAAAUUUGGAUUAAUACCUUAUAGUAUAUCGAGUUGGCAUCAACAUGAUAUUAAAGAUUUAUCGGUGAAAGAUGAGCAUGCGUCCCAUUAGCUAGUUGGUAUGGUAACGGCAUACCAAGGCUACGAUGGGUAGGGGUCCUGAGAGGGUGAUCCCCCACACUGGUACUGAGACACGGACCAGACUCCUACGGGAGGCAGCAGUGAGGAAUAUUGGACAAUGGGCGCAAGCCUGAUCCAGCCAUGCCGCGUGCAGGAUGACGGUCCUAUGGAUUGUAAACUGCUUUUAUACAGGAAGAAACACCUCUACGUGUAGAGACUUGACGGUACUGUAAGAAUAAGGAUCGGCUAACUCCGUGCCAGCAGCCGCGGUAAUACGGAGGAUCCAAGCGUUAUCCGGAAUCAUUGGGUUUAAAGGGUCCGUAGGCGGUCAAGUAAGUCAGUGGUGAAAGCCCAUCGCUCAACGGUGGAACGGCCAUUGAUACUGCUUGACUUGAAUUAUUAGGAAGUAACUAGAAUAUGUAGUGUAGCGGUGAAAUGCUUAGAGAUUACAUGGAAUACCAAUUGCGAAGGCAGGUUACUACUAAUGGAUUGACGCUGAUGGACGAAAGCGUGGGUAGCGAACAGGAUUAGAUACCCUGGUAGUCG